Long non-coding RNA from Musa acuminata AAA Group (dessert banana), 578 nucleotides. RefSeq lists it as uncharacterized. The record is from RefSeq and is a predicted model, not a curated record. NCBI's taxonomy places the organism in Eukaryota, Viridiplantae, Streptophyta, Magnoliopsida, Zingiberales, Musaceae. The transcript has 2 exons.
GGCCCAAAAUAGCCCAAAACUGCCCGCGUUUGUUGUCCGUUAUCGGAUCACAUUAGAAGCGUCUCCGUCCUGGCGAUCGAGCCCUAACCGGACGGGGCAGAGAGAGAGGAGAGAAGGCGGGGGCGGAUCUGAGCCGAACAAGGGCAUCGAGAGUCAUGGCGGCUGCAGUGAGUGUGUGGGAGGGGCUGUACCGCGUCCUGAUGCGCCGCAACUCCGUCUACGUUACCUUUGUUGUUGCCGGCGCCUUCGUCGGAGAGCGGAAGAGAUACGAGGAUAUUCCAGUAUUGGGGCAAAGGCAAUCAGAAUGAUGUUUAUGGAAAUUCUAAAUAUUUUCAAGGAUGCAGAAGGUUAUGUGACCCUGUUGCAGAUAGGGAAACUUUUUAUGCUCUCUAAUAAGGAACUCUAAGCCUGUUGAUACGCUUGUCGAAAAACAAGUGGUCAAAUUCUUUUCCUGAUCUACUGGUUGCGGACUGGAUAAAGUGCUGUUGUGCAACCUUACCUUGCAUUAUGUUUGUUGUUUCCCCCCUUUACUCUCAAGAAACAUGGCAAAUAAGUUUCAAAGGUUUUUUGAGCUGCUA